GAUGAACGCUGGCGGCGUGCCUAAUACAUGCAAGUCGAGCGAACAGACGAGGAGCUUGCUCCUCUGACGUUAGCGGCGGACGGGUGAGUAACACGUGGAUAACCUACCUAUAAGACUGGGAUAACUUCGGGAAACCGGAGCUAAUACCGGAUAAUAUCUUGAACCGCAUGGUUCAAUAGUGAAAGACGGUUUUGCUGUCACUUAUAGAUUGAUCCGCGCCGCAUUAGCUAGUUGGUAAGGUAACGGCUUACCAAGGCAACGAUGCGUAGCCGACCUGAGAGGGUGAUCGGCCACACUGGAACUGAGACACGGUCCAGACUCCUACGGGAGGCAGCAGUAGGGAAUCUUCCGCAAUGGGCGAAAGCCUGACGGAGCAACGCCGCGUGAGUGAUGAAGGUCUUCGGAUCGUAAAACUCUGUUAUUAGGGAAGAACAAAUGUGUAAGUAACUAUGCACGUCUUGACGGUACCUAAUCAGAAAGCCACGGCUAACUACGUG
This 497-nucleotide ribosomal RNA is filed under the name uncultured bacterium. RNAcentral describes it as "partial 16S ribosomal RNA". It matches the Rfam family "Bacterial small subunit ribosomal RNA", at positions 28 to 507 of the family's 1533-position model. The record is from RNAcentral.